Conger conger (European conger) is the source of this 651-nucleotide long non-coding RNA. RefSeq lists it as uncharacterized. The record is from RefSeq and is a predicted model, not a curated record. The transcript has 4 exons. NCBI's taxonomy places the organism in Eukaryota, Metazoa, Chordata, Actinopteri, Anguilliformes, Congridae.
UGUUCCUCAGGACUGCGCUUUGCUAAAGAGAAGGGUAAUAAUAUAUGCUACUUUAGCCCGCUCCGGAGGAAAAGAUGAGGUUGCAGUUCAACAAAGUUCAAACAAGGGAGCACUGGGCUAGGAACCCGCGACAGGAUCUGACUCUCCUGAGUAGUACCAUGGUGGGGGCAGCUGAGGUUCCUGGAAUCCCUGUGGAGUAGCCAUUGCUUGGGACAGUGCGAUGGUGAAACUGGUGGUCUGGACAGUAGCAGUGGAGUCUCGAGCCAGGACAGUCAGGGAUGACAUCUGUUUGGUGAAUAGACGUGCAGAUGCUGAAAGAUUGUGGUGACACUGUACCAACAUCACAGAUGGAAGCAUCAGCAUCGACUCACCCUAAACAUGUGAAAUCUGUGAGACUGGAGUGAUGGGCAAAGCUCGGCGAAGAAGGCAGCCUCCCAUCAAUGUUUCGCUGAUUGGAAGAGCUGCAUCUUUCUUUCCCAGGAGGCCGCAAGAUCGCAGUCAAAUCUCAAGGAGAUGCCAACUACCUGCCACACCAGCACGAUUAGAGCUAUCUACAAACAUGAAUGGAGUAAAAGCAGGAAGUAAGAAAAAACAAGACUAAGAAGGAAUCAUGGGAAAAAUUCCGAAAACACCCGAAUAGUGAUUCACGCA